UCCUCAUUGGCCCUCAUCUCCUUCUCGUCCAGCAGACGGGGAGCUUGGUAUUCACCUUCCUUCCGGAUGAGCUACAAAGACAGAAAAGGGUCCUAACCAGGGGUGGACAGCUCAUUCCAGAUGGGAGGAUCAUGUGACUCUGAGGACCACGGUCAGGUCCGUCUCUCUGUGGUGGUGCAUGACCAAGUGGGGCCAUCAUUUUUUUGGGUGGAGCGGCCAUGGAGCUGGCCUGCAUCAGGGCCAUGCUGGAGAGGACAGCUUCGCAGCCGAGCAGCCCCGCCUGUGAAGACAGAGAAUGCAGAACAACACUUCAUCAACUAAAUCAAAGUUUUAGAAAAUAUCUACAAUGUAAAAUUAUCUGCAUCUCAGACAUCAUGGCAUUCGCCAUGCUAGCCUUCAACGACAACAUCCUGAGUGACACAAGACUGCAAGUAAAGUUAUUUGUAACCACUUUGGUGGUCUCAAAAAAAACAAACCCAUUUCAUAUGGUCGCGGACUGAGCUGCUGGGCAGAUGUGACAUUGCUGUGGUGUAUGUGAGCGCAGGGACAGGGGUGGGGACAAGGUCAUCCAGAGAUCCGUCAGUCAGGAUGGUCGGGCUGGUGGGAAGCCACACCCACCUCACUCAUCUAGCAUUAAAACUGAGGAAGAGGAGGAUGUGGAUGAAACAGACAAACAUUAAAAUUACCACACCAUCA
Molecule: long non-coding RNA, 696 nt
Organism: Notolabrus celidotus (New Zealand spotty)
Lineage: Eukaryota; Metazoa; Chordata; Actinopteri; Labriformes; Labridae
Exons: 2
Source: RefSeq, a predicted model, not a curated record